AGAAUCUUUGAAUUUUUGAAGCAUAUGUAAUGAAGCAUUAUUUUAAGAACUAGGAGAAGCUGCUUUUAUAUAAAUGUGAGUUUGUACAACUUCUGUGUUUCUUCCUUUGGCGAUAAGAAUUUAUUGCUUGGAACUGCAGAAUUCUCCUUUUUCUCUGCUUAUGUUUGGAACUAAUCUUGCUUUCUGAAAACCAUUAGUGUUUGUAUAAUGGUGGUGUAUCUGCCUCAAGGUUGGAAUUGGUCUUGCUUCCUUCCUUUGAGAAAUGGAAAUGAAAAUUCAUAUACAAUUGAAGUAAUUGUUUAUGAUUAUUUUAUGUGACAACAGAGAAUUCAAUUGUGUUACUCUGCUGAUUUUCCUUGCUUAAAUGUUGGAAAACCAAAAGGACCAUCAUAUGUGCCCCUUGAGGUUUUUGAGCUCAUUCUACUUCACUUUUUUUAAAUUUUUUUUGAAAGAACCUUUAUUUUUAUCCUGACAAAUUUGGCAAACUAUUCAGUUCUGCUCCUUAGUUUCACUACAAAGAUAUACCAAAUCACUGUCAACAUUUCAACAAGCUUCCCUGGUGGAAAAGUCAAGGCUGAAGCCUUAUGAAUGAAUAAGUGUCCUCAGUGAGCGUUAGCAUUGCCACUACUUUUACUCAAAUAGAAGGCAUAGUAUUGCAACCUCCCCGGCUCAGAGUAGGCAAUGGAGAGGACUUUAUUCCAUCAAGGGGGAGAUGGAAUUUUAACCAAAAGGUGUUUUUUUUUUCUUUCAAUGAGUUUAUUAUUGUAGUUAAAAUAUAUACCUCUUUCAGAAAUUGAUGGAGCCGUCUCAAAUCACCCGUUGGGUUGUUGUUAAUUUUUUAGCUCGACGUGAUGUUUCAAGCCUCAUACAUGACAUGCGCAAAUGCACAAAUAUGAAGCGCAUUGUAUGUUUUGACAUUACUUUUUUCCCAUGGAGUUUUAAAUGCAGGGACAAAUAUUUUUAACCAAAUUUGUCAUCCAAGGAA
Long non-coding RNA from Zingiber officinale, 985 nucleotides. RefSeq lists it as uncharacterized. The record is from RefSeq and is a predicted model, not a curated record. Lineage: Eukaryota; Viridiplantae; Streptophyta; Magnoliopsida; Zingiberales; Zingiberaceae. The transcript is spliced from 3 exons.